RNAcentral lists this ribosomal RNA (301 nucleotides) under uncultured bacterium. Its description in RNAcentral is "partial 16S ribosomal RNA". It matches the Rfam family "Bacterial small subunit ribosomal RNA", at positions 509 to 807 of the family's 1533-position model. The record is from RNAcentral.
CAGCCGCCGCGGGAAUACGAAGGGUGCAAGCGUUACUCGGAAUUACUGGGCGUAAAGCGUGCGUAGGUGGUGGUUUAAGUCCGUUGUGAAAGCCCUGGGCUCAACCUGGGAAUUGCAGUGGAUACUGGGUCACUAGAGUGUGGUAGAGGAUAGUGGAAUUUCCGGUGUAGCAGUGAAAUGCGUAGAGAUCGGAAGGAACAUCUGUGGCGAAGGCGACUAUCUGGGCCAACACUGACAUUGAGGCACGAAAGCGUGGGGAGCAAACAGGAUUAGAUACCCCCGUAGUCCCUGUCUCUUAUAC